GAGCAACUCCUGGGGAUAAAAAUCGGAAGGCAGCCAAGCAUGAAAGUCAUUCCUGAGAGUGAAGUAAAGAGGACGUCAUCUUCAGCCCUCACUUUAUGGCCUAUUGGUGAUUUGGCGACGCUUAUCUGCACAAAGCUGUCAGGAGAAAAAAGUUAAUAUUAUUCAGAGACUGGUGAUAAAGAUGUGACUGAUCCGGGGACAGUUUGUCUCAGUGUUGGAAAAGAGCGUCCGAGUGUAAGAGACGAGUUGCUGCUGUUAUCUGAACCGACCGAACCGAGAGCAAGGUGGAGACCAGUCCAGUCUGCAGGCAAAACCAGGGCCGUGCAGCCCAGACCGAGGUGCAACAGUGCAGCCUGGAGGCAGGGAGAGGUACUGCCUCUGGGAAUUCAACUUUCAGCUUUCCAAACAGCUAAUGUGAUGCAACAGACUCUUCUGAUUUUGUGCUGUGGAGCUGCAUCUGAUAUCUGUGAGUUACUGUGAAAUGCUUUAGGUUUAUCAUGCAGGUGCCAAGAUUUUUAAUAUGUUGCAUGUCCAAAACAAAGCUGUUCACAAUCCUCCACCCAUCGUCAUACAUUUUAGUCUGAAUUGUACUUUUUCUUCAUAAUUACCACAGAUCUUCCACCAUCUGACUCAGUGUGGGUAACAUGUACCAUCUGCUGCAGGAUAGUUUCAUUCUGUAUCACUUACUUUAGACCUUACUGCCUAAUUUCCAAUGUCAAGAUAUUAGAUAGUUGUAUAUUUUCUCAGAUAAUACCAUUAGAACAAACAUCAUGGAGUGGGAUCCCUCAGCUGUGACUCUCCCUGAAGUUUCUCUGUUUGUUUCCCCUGUUAAAAGUUAUUUUGGGAGGUUUUUUACUUGUCGAGGGUCGUGAACAGAGGAAGUCGCACCUUGUACAGAGUGUUGAGCUCCAUGAGGCAAAUUGUAGUUUGUGAAUAUGAGCUUUUCAAAUAAAGAAAUUUGAUGUAAUGAUACAAAUUUAAA
Molecule: long non-coding RNA, 982 nt
Organism: Hippoglossus stenolepis (Pacific halibut)
Lineage: Eukaryota; Metazoa; Chordata; Actinopteri; Pleuronectiformes; Pleuronectidae
Exons: 2
Source: RefSeq, a predicted model, not a curated record